AACACCGUUGGGUAGGCAAGCGAAACGCACCUCCGCCAUCUUGUCCAGCAAGGACGCCGCAAAAAUAAUCAUUUUUCCGGGUGAUUUUCCCCGUUUUUCUUGCUUAAAACCCGCUGGAAAUCCUUUAGAAAUUAAUCGAGAAGGUCCAGGGUGUUUCAGGGGACAGUGCAGUGCCGUAUUUUAAACCGAACUUUAAUUAAGAAAUUUUUCUUUGUGUACGUGACCGCAGCGGUUUGUUGUGGUGCCAGUGGUGCACCUAAAAGGGGCCGAUUUUUAGGCGAAUCAUGAGUAGGAGACAUGAUUCGGAGAACGAGGACGACCCGGAGCCCUUUCAGAGCUCUGGCGAGGAGUGGGACGUCGAGGAAGAAAAAAAGACAGCAAGACGAAAGUCUGGACGAGUGACGCGUAAACCAAAGAGGGCGAAGAUGGACGAGAGCGGUAGCGAGGAGGCGGACGAGGACGAGGAAGACGAAGGACGAUUCUUUGAGGAGGAGCAGGCGAAAAAGAAGAAGAAGCCCGGGCCGAAAAAGGGGGCGAGGCCCACCCCGAAGAAGCAGCAAAAAGUUCUUAACGAGAGCGACCUCUCGAACGACGGGAACUCGAACGUGUCCCAGGAGGAGCGCAAGGGGGUUUCCGGGAACGAGUCGGACUCCUCUAAAACCGGCGGGAACAACGUGAACGUUCAGGCGAGGGGCGUUCACCGGAAGUUCAUUCCGAAGACGAUUUACUCGGAAGAUUACGCUACGGGGUCGUUUGUUAUUGCGAAAAAAGACGCGCAGGGUGGGGAUCCCGCCAAACAUCCGGUCAUAUGGCGGAUCGACGGCAAAGCCCUGCUGCAAAAGUACGAGGCGUUCGACGAGGAUGAGAAAGUGAGACACAAAAACACCUCGAUCUACACCGGGUGGUCGCCUUUAGACAAGGAUCUCUACGCCCCGAUCACCGUUGACGUCAUCAGGCACAACAACAACAAUUUGACGGUCGAGGUCCAGUGGGACAAGCUCAAGGUCAUCAAUGACAAUGACAGCGAUUAAGACUUGCGCAAUAGUGUUUUUUUUUUCUUUUUAGUUUAAGGUCCAAUCAUAGAUGUCUUUAUUUUUCUUCUUUUUUUUUUCGUCAUACGAGUGUUUAUAUUAUGAUUGUUUUUUUUUGAGUGGGGAGAAAACAAUAAAUGUUACUUUUAUGGGCUAAA
This 1189-nucleotide unclassified non-coding RNA is filed under the name Anthonomus grandis grandis. RNAcentral's name for it is "uncharacterized LOC126747308". The record is from RNAcentral. Lineage: Eukaryota; Metazoa; Arthropoda; Insecta; Coleoptera; Curculionidae.